GAUGAACGCUAGCUACAGGCUUAACACAUGCAAGUCGAGGGGCAGCAUGAACUUAGCUUGCUAAGUUUGAUGGCGACCGGCGCACGGGUGAGUAACACGUAUCCAACCUGCCGAUGACUCGGGAAUAGCCUUUCGAAAGAAAGAUUAAUACCCGAUGGCAUAGUUCUUCCGCAUGGUAGAACUAUUAAAGAAUUUCGGUCAUCGAUGGGGAUGCGUUCCAUUAGGUUGUUGGCGGGGUAACGGCCCACCAAGCCUUCGAUGGAUAGGGGUUCUGAGAGGAAGGUCCCCCACAUUGGAACUGAGACACGGUCCAAACUCCUACGGGAGGCAGCAGUGAGGAAUAUUGGUCAAUGGACGAGAGUCUGAACCAGCCAAGUAGCGUGAAGGAUGACUGCCCUAUGGGUUGUAAACUUCUUUUAUACGGGAAUAAAGUGAGGCACGUGUGCCUUUUUGUAUGUACCGUAUGAAUAAGGAUCGGCUAACUCCGUGCCAGCAGCCGCGGUAAUACGGAGGAUCCGAGCGUUAUCCGGAUUUAUUGGGUUUAAAGGGAGCGUAGGCGGACGCUUAAGUCAGUUGUGAAAGUUUGCGGCUCAACCGUAAAAUUGCAGUUGAUACUGGGUGUCUUGAGUACAGUAGAGGCAGGCGGAAUUCGUGGUGUAGCGGUGAAAUGCUUAGAUAUCACGAAGAACUCCGAUUGCGAAGGCAGCUUGCUGGACUGUAACUGACGCUGAUGCUCGAAAGUGUGGGUAUCAAACAGGAUUAGAUACCCUGGUAGUCCACACAGUAAACGAUGAAUGCUCGCUGUUUGCGAUAUACAGUAAGCGGCCAAGCGAAAGCGUUA
This 841-nucleotide ribosomal RNA is filed under the name uncultured bacterium. RNAcentral describes it as "bacterial SSU rRNA". It matches the Rfam family "Bacterial small subunit ribosomal RNA", at positions 28 to 862 of the family's 1533-position model. The record is from RNAcentral.